UUCGAGCGUCAUUACAACCCUCAAGCUCUGCUUGGUAUUAGGCCUCACCAUCUUGGUGGGCUUUAAAAAUAGUGGCGGUGCCAGUCGGCUUCAAGCUUAGUAAUUUUUCUGGCUUUGGAGAACCGGCUAUGUGCCUGCCAGCAAGCAUAAUAUUUUAAAAGGUUGACCUCGGAUCAGGUAGGGAUACCCGCUGAACUUAA
Molecule: unclassified non-coding RNA, 200 nt
Filed under: soil metagenome
Description: partial contains internal transcribed spacer 2 and large subunit ribosomal RNA
Source: RNAcentral